UACGUAGGGCGCAAGCGUUUAUCCGGAAUUAUUGGGCGUAAAGAGCUCGUAGGCGGUUUGUCGCGUCUGCUGUGAAAACUGGGGGGCUCAACCCCCCAGCCUGCAGUGGGUACGGGCAGACUAGAGUGCGGUAGGGGGAGAUUGGAAUUCCUGGUGUAGCGGUGGAAUACGUAGAUAUCAGGAGGAACACCGAUGGCGAAGGCAGGUCUCUGGGCCACUACUGACGCUGAGAAGCGAAAGCAUGGGGGAGCGAACAGG
Molecule: ribosomal RNA, 258 nt
Filed under: uncultured bacterium
Lineage: Bacteria
Description: partial 16S ribosomal RNA
Rfam family: Bacterial small subunit ribosomal RNA
Source: RNAcentral